Molecule: ribosomal RNA, 750 nt
Filed under: Priestia megaterium
Lineage: Bacteria; Bacillati; Bacillota; Bacilli; Caryophanales; Bacillaceae
Description: bacterial SSU rRNA
Source: RNAcentral
CCUGUAAGACUGGGAUAACUUCGGGAAACCGAAGCUAAUACCGGAUAGGAUCUUCUCCUUCAUGGGAGAUGAUUGAAAGAUGGUUUCGGCUAUCACUUACAGAUGGGCCCGCGGUSCAUUAGCUAGUUGGUGAGGUAACGGCUCACCAAGGCAACGAUGCAUAGCCGCCCUGAGAGGGUGAUCGGCCMCACUGGGAYUGAGCCACGGCCCAGAYUCYUMCGGGAGGCASCAGUAGGGAAUCUUCCGCAAUGGACGAAAKUCUGASGGAGCAACGCCGCGUGAGUGAUGAAGGCUUUCGGGUGGUAAAAYUYUGUUGUUAGGGAAGAACAAGUACAAGAGUAACUGCUUGUACCUUGACGGUACCUAACCAGAAAGCCACGGCUAACUACGUGCCAGCAGCCGCGGUAAUACGUAGGUGGCAAGCGUUAUCCGGAAUUAUUGGGCGUAAAGCGCGCGCAGGUGGUUUCUUAAGUCUGAUGUGAAAGCCCACGGCUCAACCGUGGAGGGUCAUUGGAAACUGGGGAACUUGAGUGCAGAAGAGAAAAGCGGAAUUCCACGUGUAGCGGUGAAAUGCGUAGAGAURUGGAGGAACACCAGUGGCGAAGGCGGCUUUUUGGUCUGUAACUGACGCUGAGGCGCGAAAGCGUGGGGAGCAAACAGGAUUAGAUACCCUGGUAGUCCACGCCGUAAACGAUGAGUGCUAAGUGUUAGAGGGUUUCCGCCCUUUAGUGCUGCAGCUAACGCAUAAGC